UAUUUGGUAGCCAAGUUCUGAAAAGUGCUCU
RNAcentral lists this non-coding RNA (31 nucleotides) under Mus musculus (house mouse). Lineage: Eukaryota; Metazoa; Chordata; Mammalia; Rodentia; Muridae. The record is from RNAcentral.